CUGCCAUUCCCUCCAUCUCUCCAUCCACUGCAACUCCUCCCCCUCCAACUCCUCCUCCUCAGAUAAACACUCAACUAGUUCCAUCCUAUUAUCCUCUCUCAUUCUCUCAAUGACUGCAGGUCUUGGGAAGCCCAACGCUGUUAUGCUUGAACUUCUCAGUCUAGAUGGUUCUGCAGGCAGCUAAGAUAUUACUCCAGCAGCAAUAGAAGAAGAGUGGUUUGAACUCUGCAAAGAGCCAUACCAAACCACGGCCCCUACAGGUCUCAAUGACUAUGAUGAGUCCUCAGCAGAUGCAGCAGCUUCUGUCCCCGGGUCAGCUCCAGGCUCUGCUCCAACAGCAGCAGCACACUAUCCUGCUCCAGCAGCUCUCUAGGCAGCAGCUAGUGUUCCAGCAGCUCCUCCAGCAGGAGCUGUUCAAAGUGCAGAGACCAGGCCUGGCCUCCCACACCUUGU
This is a long non-coding RNA of Salvelinus sp. IW2-2015, 453 nucleotides long. RefSeq lists it as uncharacterized. The record is from RefSeq and is a predicted model, not a curated record. NCBI's taxonomy places the organism in Eukaryota, Metazoa, Chordata, Actinopteri, Salmoniformes, Salmonidae.